CUGACAUUCGUUUCAUGCAUACCCCCAGCCAGGGGGGAUUUCGAUCUCCCUCUCGACAGCCACCAAAUUUAUCUGCAUUUACGGCUAUGAGCUUAUGACCUAGCCAGAUUCGCAAAAGAGAAUUCCUUCGAAGCAGACGAAACCAAUUGACAGCGAGUAUAACACCAUACUCCCUGAAACUAAACCUUCGUAUCAAAGCAGUAUCAUCUCUGUUCAUAAUCACUGGAGCAGCAUCUAAGAGAAAUAUGCUUACCACCACUUCGAAUACAGGAGAUUCUUACACCACAAUCAGUGAGAGAGUCUCUUUUGAAAAAGAAAUCAAGAAAAGCAGAUUCAUUGCCAUUGCUGCUCCUGUCUCAGACGAACAAUCAGCUCAUUCAUUUCUAUCCGAGGUUAAGGAUUCACGGGCCAAUCAUAAUUGUUGGGCGUAUAAGAUAGGAGAUCAGUAUCGAAGUAAUGACGAUGGUGAACCGUCAGGUACAGCUGGGAAACCAAUAUAUUCAGCAAUUGAUUCAUCAGGAAUUGAUAGGGUUAUGGUUGUUGUUAUCAGGUACUUUGGAGGUAUAAAAUUGGGAACAGGAGGAUUGGUAAGGGCUUAUGGAGGAGUCACUUCCGAAUGCUUGAAAAAUGCCCCAACUUGUCUUGUAAAAUCCAAAGUUCAAAUUGAUAUGGAAGUUCCUUACGAUCUGUUAGGACUUGUAUACCAUCAGCUUCAACAUUUUCAAGUUGAAAAUAUCAAGCAGGACUAUGAUACUGGAAAUGACGGUAUCACUGUUGUUAGUUUCAUGGUUGAUUAUGACAAAGUGGAGAGCUUGGAGAAUGCUGUCAAAGAUAAUUGCAGCAGGAAUAUCGUCUUUCUCAAAACACUAAAGCAAAACUAAAUUACGUACAGGGGGAGUGGUUGAAGAAGAAAAGCACAAUGGAGCGUAGAUGUCAAAGAUGAAGAUAUCUUCCACUAAAUCAUCUGCCUCGUCAAGGUAAUCCUCACAUUUCUCUGUUACAGUAUUUGGGGUAGAAAAAUUGCAGUUCAGUUGAAUUCCUUGAUUGACUUCGUCGGAGAUCAAGGCGUGAGUCCAGAAGAAGUUCGUACAUUCCUUUGACACCCGUUUCAAAAUCGACCCAAGCAUUUCCAAUGAUGAGUUGAGCAAGCUGAGCUGUUCUGGAGUCUCCACUCAAGUUGUAAUCUGAUGUUGUACUCGAAUAUGAAAAUCCAACACCAGCUGGGGAUUCGAGGAAGAUAACAUUUGCCGCUGCAGAUGACAGGAAAAAUUAGACAGUCGUUCCCGCAAAGAGAGGAGUGGUGGGGUAACUCACCAUUGUUCCAUGCAUAUUCAUUUAGCGAGAGAGUUUCUCCAUCACUAUCGACUCGAAAUGGUCCAAGUUCCAUCAUUGCACCAUUACCAAAUGAAGAACAUCCAGGUCCUGAAUGCACCACAGCAAUAUCCGAAUUUCGUAACAUUUAUUAUUCGCUAUGCAUUCAGCACUAUUCAUGUAAAAUUAACAAGAUUAAUUGGUCACUAUUAUUUACCUCCAUUAAGCCACAAAACUAGAGGAUUUGUUGAAGAAUUUUGAGGAGACUCAGCAAAAUAGUAAAAAAGUGCUCUUCCAUGUCCAGCAUCAACUGCCACAUAACCUGAGUACUGGUUAAAACUCACUCCUUGUUCAGGUUGCCCAGGCAGGGCAUCGAUUUUAUCGGCUUCCUUCAAUCCAUCUUGCGUGCCCAUGUAAACUGACGAGUAUUCUGCAGUCGAUUUGGUCGCGUAUCCUUCGACUUGUACAGACUUUGAAGACGCCAACUGUGCCUUAAUGAUUUUACCUAAUGGGGA
Molecule: RNA transcript, 1826 nt
Organism: Papaver somniferum (opium poppy)
Lineage: Eukaryota; Viridiplantae; Streptophyta; Magnoliopsida; Ranunculales; Papaveraceae
Gene name: IMPACT family member in pol 5'region-like
Exons: 8
Source: RefSeq, a predicted model, not a curated record